This 1396-nucleotide ribosomal RNA is filed under the name uncultured bacterium. RNAcentral describes it as "16S ribosomal RNA". It matches the Rfam family "Bacterial small subunit ribosomal RNA". The record is from RNAcentral.
AGAGUUUGAUCCUGGCUCAGGAUGAACGCUAGCUACAGGCUUAACACAUGCAAGUCGAGGGGCAGCAUGGUCUUAGCUUGCUAAGGCCGAUGGCGACCGGCGCACGGGUGAGUAACACGUAUCCAACCUGCCGUCUACUCUUGGACAGCCUUCUGAAAGGAAGAUUAAUACAAGAUGGCAUCAUGAGUCCACAUGUUCACAUGAUUAAAGGUAUUCCGGUAGACGAUGGGGAUGCGUUCCAUUAGAUAGUAGGCGGGGUAACGGCCCACCUAGUCUUCGAUGGAUAGGGGUUCUGAGAGGAAGGUCCCCCACAUUGGAACUGAGACACGGUCCAAACUCCUACGGGAGGCAGCAGUGAGGAAUAUUGGUCAAUGGGCGAGAGCCUGAACCAGCCAAGUAGCGUGAAGGAUGACUGCCCUAUGGGUUGUAAACUUCUUUUAUAAAGGAAUAAAGUCGGGUAUGCAUACCCGUUUGCAUGUACUUUAUGAAUAAGGAUCGGCUAACUCCGUGCCAGCAGCCGCGGUAAUACGGAGGAUCCGAGCGUUAUCCGGAUUUAUUGGGUUUAAAGGGAGCGUAGAUGGAUGUUUAAGUCAGUUGUGAAAGUUUGCGGCUCAACCGUAAAAUUGCAGUUGAUACUGGAUAUCUUGAGUGCAGUUGAGGCAGGCGGAAUUCGUGGUGUAGCGGUGAAAUGCUUAGAUAUCACGAAGAACUCCGAUUGCGAAGGCAGCCUGCUAAGCUGCAACUGACAUUGAGGCUCGAAAGUGUGGGUAUCAAACAGGAUUAGAUACCCUGGUAGUCCACACGGUAAACGAUGAAUACUCGCUGUUUGCGAUAUACGGCAAGCGGCCAAGCGAAAGCGUUAAGUAUUCCACCUGGGGAGUACGCCGGCAACGGUGAAACUCAAAGGAAUUGACGGGGGCCCGCACAAGCGGAGGAACAUGUGGUUUAAUUCGAUGAUACGCGAGGAACCUUACCCGGGCUUAAAUUGCAGAUGAAUUACGGUGAAAGCCGUAAGCCGCAAGGCAUCUGUGAAGGUGCUGCAUGGUUGUCGUCAGCUCGUGCCGUGAGGUGUCGGCUUAAGUGCCAUAACGAGCGCAACCCUUGUUGUCAGUUACUAACAGGUUCUGCUGAGGACUCUGACAAGACUGCCAUCGUAAGAUGUGAGGAAGGUGGGGAUGACGUCAAAUCAGCACGGCCCUUACGUCCGGGGCUACACACGUGUUACAAUGGGGGGUACAGAGGGCCGCUACCACGCGAGUGGACGCCAAUCCCCAAAACCUCUCUCAGUUCGGACUGGAGUCUGCAACCCGACUCCACGAAGCUGGAUUCGCUAGUAAUCGCGCAUCAGCCACGGCGCGGUGAAUACGUUCCCGGGCCUUGUACACACCGCCCGUCA